AUGCUGGCCUCAGGGCUGCUUCUUCUGGCUUUGCUGGCCUGCCUGACUGCAAUGGUCUUGAUAUCUGUCUGGCGGCAGAGGAAGUUCCAGGGGAAACUGCCUCCCGGACCCAUCCCUUUGCCAUUCAUCGGGAACUACCUGCAGCUGAACACCCAGCAGAUGUACAACUCCCUCAUGAAGAUGCGCGAGCGCUACGGCCCUGUGUUCACGGUGCACCUGGGGCCCCGGCGGAUCGUGGUGCUGUGUGGAUAUGACGCUGUGAAGGAGGCCCUGGUGGACCAGGCUGAGGAAUUCAGUGGGCGAGGAGAGCAGGCUACCUUCGACUGGCUCUUCAAAGGCUAUGGCGUGGCGUUCAGCAACGGGGAGCGCGCCAAGCAGCUCAGGCGCUUCUCCAUCACCACGCUGCGGGACUUCGGCGUGGGCAAGCGUGGCAUCGAGGAGCGCAUCCAGGAGGAGGCGGGCUUCCUCAUCCAGGCCUUCAGGGGCACGCGCGGUACCUUCAUAGAUCCCACGUUCUUCCUGAGUCGAACCGUCUCCAGUGUCAUCAGCUCCAUCGUCUUCGGGGACCGCUUUGACUACGAGGACAAAGAGUUCCUGUCACUGCUGCAGAUGAUGCUGGGAAGCUUCCAGUUCACAGCUACAUCUAUCGGGCAGCUCUAUGAGAUGUUCUACUCAGUGAUGAAACACCUGCCAGGGCCACAGCAACAGGCAUUUAAAGAGCUUCAGGUUCUCAAGGACUUCAUAGCCACGAAGGUGGCACAGAACCAACGCACACUGGAUCCCAACUCCCAGAGGGACUUCAUCGACUCCUUCCUCAUCCGCAUGCAGGAGGCGGCUUGGGUUCCAUCCCUGGUCCAGGAAGUUGUGCCUGCUGUGCAGCUGGGGAAAAAGAAAACAAAAGAAGAAAGAAAAAGAAAGGAAGGAAGGAAGGAAGAAAGAAACAAAAGAAAGGAAGGAAGGAAGAAAGGGAGGAAGAAAGAAGAAAGAGAGAGAGAGAAAGAAAGAAAGAAAACGAAAGAAAAGAGAAGAAAAGAAAGAAAACGAAAGAAAAGAGAAGAAAAGAAAGAAAAGGAGGAGAUGAAUCCCAACACCGAGUUCUACUUGAAGAACCUGGUGCUGACCACACUGAACCUCUUCUUUGCGGGCACCGAGACCGUCAGCACGACCCUGCGGUGGGACUUCCUGCUGCUCAUGAAGCACCCAGAUGUGGAGGCCAAAAUCCAUGAGGAGAUUGACCACGUUAUUGGCAAGAACCGGCAGCCCAAGUUCAAGGACCGAGCCAAGAUGCCCUACACAGAGGCCGUGAUACAAGAGAUCCGGAGAUUUGGAGACAUCAUUCCCAUGGGCGUGGCCCACAGAGUCACCAAGGAUACCAAGUUUCGAGACUUCUUCCUACCCAAGCUGCUGCCCCACCCAGCCUACAGGGAUCUCCAACCUGCUCCCUGUGACCCUGCACCCCGAAAGCGGUACUGUUUCGGAGAAGGCCUGGCUAGAAUGGAGCUCUUUCUCUUCCUCACCACCAUCCUGCAGAACUGCCACCUCAAGUCCCCACAGUCACCCCAGGACAUCGAUGUGUCCCCUAAACACAUGGCCUUUGCCACCAUCCCAGGAAACUACAGCAUGAGCUAUCUGCCCUGCUGUGCCAGGGCUGUGCCAGGGCGGGGCUGCAUCAGAGUUUCCUCUGCCCACAUCCUUGACAACCGCAUCCCCAGCUCCCCUGGUGGCAAACGAUUCUGGGCGUGAAGAAGCAGCAUGGACCAGGCGGAGGAAUUCAGUGGGCGAGGAGAGCAAGCUACCUUCACGUGGCUCUCCAAAGACUAUGGCGUGGCGUUCAGCAACGGGGAGCGCGCCAAGCAGCUCAGGCGCUUCUCCAUCACCACGCUGCGGGACUUCGGCGUGGGCAAGCACGGCAUCGAGGAGCGCAUCCAGGAGAAGGCGGGCUUCCUCAUCCAGGCCUUCAGGGGCACGCGCGGUGCCUUCAUAGAUGCCACGUUCUUCCUGAGUCAAACCGUCUCCAGUGUCCUCAGGUCCAUCGUCUUCGGGGACUGCUUUGACUACAAGGACAAAGAGUUCCUGGCACUGCUGCAGAUGAUGCUGGGAAGCUUCCAGUUCACAGCUACGACUACCGGUCAGCUCUAUGACAUGUUCUACUCAGUGAUGAAACACCUGCCAGGGCCACAGCAACAGGCAUUUAAAGAGCUUCAGGGCCUAGAGGACUUCGUAGCCAAGAAGGUGGCACAGAACCAACGCACGCUGGAUCCCAACUCCCCGAGGGACUUCAUCGACUCCUUCCUCAUCCGCAUGCAGGAGGAGAAGAAGAAUCCCAACAUCGAGUUCUACUUGAAGAACCUGGUGCUGACCACACUGAACCUCUUCUUUGCGGGCACCGAGACCAUCAGCACGACCCUGCGGUGGGGCUUCCUACUGCUCAUGAAGCACCCAGAUGUGGAGGCCAAAAUCCAUGAGGAGAUUGACCACGUGAUUGGCAAGAACCGGCAGCCCAAGUUCGAGGACCGAGCCAACAUGCCCUACACAGAGGCGUUCAUUCACGAGAUCCAGAGAUUUGGAGACAUCAUUCCCAUGGGCGUGGCCCGCAGAGUCACCAAGGAUACCAAGUUUCGAGACUUCUUCCUACCCAAGGGCACCGAAGUGUUCCCUAUGCUGGGCUCUGUGCUGAGAGACCCCAAGUUCUUCUCCAACCCCCGAGAUUUCAACCCCCAGCACUUCCUGGAUGAGCAGGGGCAGUUUAAGAAGAGUGAUGCUUUUGUGCCCUUCUCCAUCGGAAAGCGGUACUGUUUCGGAGAAGGCCUGGCUAGAAUGGAGCUCUUUCUCUUCCUCACCACCAUCCUGCAGAACUUCCACCUCAAGUCCACACAGUCACCCCAGGACAUCGACGUGUCCCCCAAACACGUGGGCUUUGCCACCAUCCCACCAAACUACACCCUGAGCUUCCUGCCCCGCUGAGCCAGGGCUGUGCCAGGGCGGGGCUGGUGGGUGGGGCAAAUGGGG
Molecule: RNA transcript, 3009 nt
Organism: Hippopotamus amphibius kiboko
Lineage: Eukaryota; Metazoa; Chordata; Mammalia; Artiodactyla; Hippopotamidae
Gene name: cytochrome P450 2A13-like
Exons: 18
Source: RefSeq, a predicted model, not a curated record